This 477-nucleotide long non-coding RNA is filed under the name Vitis vinifera (wine grape). RNAcentral's name for it is "long non-coding RNA (VVIN_LNC002308)". The record is from RNAcentral. Lineage: Eukaryota; Viridiplantae; Streptophyta; Magnoliopsida; Vitales; Vitaceae.
CCAAGAAAAGGAAGCCAACGACCUUCUCCUGGGCCCUCACCAAAAGGGGUCUAUAGUAUCCAAAUGGAUACUUAGUUAUAUAAGAUGAUUGUGUUAAUACAAGGGUUUUUUAUCCCUCCCUCCCUCCAAAAGAAAAUGCCAAGAAAAGGAAGCCAACGACCCUCUCCCGGGCCCUCACCAAAAGGGGUCUACAGUAUCCAAAUGGAUACUUAGUUAUAUAAGAUGAGUUAAUACAAGGGUUUUUUAAGUGAUACAAGUCUAAUUUUGUGGAUGGUGAAUGGAAAAAUGACAAAAAUCGUAGAAAAAUAACAAUAAAUUAUGGAUAGCAAAUCCUAUUAAGAGUAUAUUUUUUAACUCCUUAAAUUGAUAACUUGAUGUUUAUUUAUAAGGAAUUUUAAAUAAAAAUCAACUUAACCACAUGGUAUGAGUGUAGCAACCCACCCUUACAAACACCAUUAGGGAUGACAACAAGAUAGG